RNAcentral lists this ribosomal RNA (393 nucleotides) under uncultured bacterium. Its description in RNAcentral is "partial 16S ribosomal RNA". It matches the Rfam family "Bacterial small subunit ribosomal RNA", at positions 523 to 918 of the family's 1533-position model. The record is from RNAcentral.
CUACGGAGGAUGCGAGCGUUAUCCGGAUUUAUUGGGUUUAAAGGGUGCGUAGGCGGCCUUGUAAGUCAGCGGUGAAAUUUUGCAGCUUAACUGUAAAAGUGCCGUUGAUACUGUGAGGCUAGGAUUUGGUUGCUGUGGGUGGAAUGUGUGGUGUAGCGGUGAAAUGCUUAGAGAUCACACAGAAUAUCGAUUGCGAAGGCAGCUCACAAAGCCAAGAUUGACGCUGAGGCACGAAAGUGUGGGGAUCAAACAGGAUUAGAUACCCUGGUAGUCCACACUGUAAACGAUGAUAACUCGCUGUCGGCGAUAUACAGUCGGUGGCCAAGCGAAAGCGAUAAGUUAUCCACCUGGGGAGUACGACCGCAAGGUUGAAACUCAAAUGAAUUGACGGGG